Molecule: unclassified non-coding RNA, 279 nt
Filed under: plant metagenome
Description: partial contains small subunit ribosomal RNA, internal transcribed spacer 1, and 5.8S ribosomal RNA
Source: RNAcentral
UUUCCGUAGGUGAACCUGCGGAAGGAUCAUUGCCAAACACGAUCCGAGAGCGACACUUUUUGGGAACCGUAGCACCCUUUCUUAUUGAUUGUACUUGUUAAUGGAAAAGUCGUCAGGGAAACGAGUGAAAACUAUAUUCAUGACCACUUUUUAAACAUGUAUUAUACACAAAAACAUUUUAAUUAUAUUUCUUUACCACUUAUAACAAUGGAUUAUUAAUUGUAAGACAACUUUUAACAAGGGAUAUCUAGGUUCUGGCAUCGUUGAAAAUCGCAUCAG